RNAcentral lists this small RNA (1113 nucleotides) under Rattus norvegicus (Norway rat). RNAcentral describes it as "uncharacterized LOC102554466". The record is from RNAcentral. Lineage: Eukaryota; Metazoa; Chordata; Mammalia; Rodentia; Muridae.
GGGAACGCACCGCCCGGGUAGCCACUCUCACGUUCCCCUAACUCAAACCAGACGCCCCUGCCAGAUCCUUCCCAGCUUUAACCUCGGAGACUCAGUCGAGGGGGCGGGGGAUUGAUGGAUGGAGUGGGGAGAGGUCGCCUGGUUUUCUAGAAAGCUUGGGCCUGAGGCACCACUUAUGGAAUGACACCGUCUGCUGGGACGGAGGUCUGAAGCUCCUUCCCAUGACCCCUGGCAGAGGGUAGACAGCACCCUGAGGGAAAGAAAGAGUUAAAUGCGCUGCAGUCCGCGGGAGGAUGGGUGUGGGGAAGGGGGCCCAGAGCCGGCUCUUUGUCCUCUAGUAAUGAGCACCAGAUGCGGAGCUGCGUGCGGGCCUGAACAGACGGCCUCCCAGGGCAGAGCCCCCGCCUGCGCCCAGACUCAGGCUCCGCCUUAACCGAAAGCUGAAUCUCAGGCUCCGCCCAUUAACUCUCAGGCCUCAUCUCACCUCAGCGCGGUGGAGGUGGCCUAGAUUAUGAGCCCCGCCCUCCCAAUCAAUGAGCCACGCCCCUUGGAGGCGGGGGAAGGGGGGUGGAAAACUCUCCGGAGUAUUCCCGGAGGCCCCGCCCACCAAAACCAUAGCCUCACCCCUCGCCAGCUCAAAGAUGCCUUCAGAGCUAUGGCUAGCCCCCUGCCUUAUCAGCUCCCCCAGGACCCCGCCCAUAACCAACAAGCUGCGUCUCCACAUCUAGGCAGUAGCGGAGAGGAGAGCUGUUUAUAAAUCUUGUCUUCACCGAGGUCUCUCCCUGGGACUUCAGGCUGGCUGUCCAGGGAGCCUCAGGGAUCCUGCAGUCUCUUUUUCCCCAACACUGGCAUCAGAUGCAAGAACCACCUAGCCUUUGACCCGGGUACUGGCGAGUGAACUCAGAUCUCAAUGCUCUCAAGGGCAAACAUGUGAUGGAACAUCUAGCUGAAGCAGACACAGGAGGGAGGAUGUUCUGCUAAAGCAAGCAUGGGAAAGGACGCACGAUGAAGGAUCCUUUGCUAUCGACAGGCCUGUAUUGAUCCACCUUACACUGCAUACUUGAGCUGCAUUUGCUGGGACUCCAUAGAGAGAAACGUACCCAAAAAAAACUU